UACAGAGGGUGCGAGCGUUAAUCGGAUUUACUGGGCGUAAAGGGCGCGUAGGCGGUUUAGUGAGUGUGAUGUGAAAGCCCCGGGCUUAACCUGGGAAGUGCAUCGCAAACGACUAAACUGGAGUAUAAGAGAGGGUGGCGGAAUUUCCGGUGUAGCGGUGAAAUGCGUAGAGAUCGGAAGGAACGUCAAUGGCGAAGGCAGCCACCUGGCUUAAUACUGACGCUGAGGCACGAAGGUCAGGGGAGCAAACGGG
Molecule: ribosomal RNA, 253 nt
Filed under: uncultured bacterium
Lineage: Bacteria
Description: partial 16S ribosomal RNA
Rfam family: Bacterial small subunit ribosomal RNA
Source: RNAcentral